CCUACGGGAGGCAGCAGUAAGGAAUAUUGGUCAAUGGACGCAAGUCUGAACCAGCCAUGCCGCGUGAAGGAUUAAGGCCCUCUGGGUUGUAAACUUCUUUUAUAGGGGACGAAAAAAGGGCAUUCUUGCUCACUUGACGGUACCCUAGGAAUAAGCACCGGCUAACUCCGUGCCAGCAGCCGCGGUAAUACGGAGGGUGCAAGCGUUAUCCGGAUUUACUGGGUUUAAAGGGUGCGUAGGUGGGUUGGUAAGUCAGUGGUGAAAUCUUCGAGCUUAACUCGGAAACUGCCAUUGAUACUAUCAAUCUUGAAUCAUCUAGAGGUAAGCGGAAUAUGUCAUGUAGCGGUGAAAUGCUUAGAUAUGACAUAGAACACCAAUUGCGAAGGCAGCUUACUAUGGAUGUAUUGACACUGGGGCACGAAAGCGUGGGGAUCAAACAGGAUUAGAUACCCUGGUAGUCCACGCCCUAAACGAUGGAUACUCGACAUUUGUGAUAUACUAUAAGUGUCUGAGCGAAAGCAUUAAGUAUCCCACCUGGAAGUACGACCGCAAGGUUGAAACUCAAAGGAAUUGACGGNNGAGAGAGCGAGACGACGACGAGGGAGGAGG
This 609-nucleotide ribosomal RNA is filed under the name uncultured bacterium. RNAcentral describes it as "bacterial SSU rRNA". It matches the Rfam family "Bacterial small subunit ribosomal RNA", at positions 338 to 948 of the family's 1533-position model. The record is from RNAcentral.